CCAACCGCAGGCCAUCACUUUCUGGGUAA
Molecule: non-coding RNA, 29 nt
Filed under: Homo sapiens (human)
Lineage: Eukaryota; Metazoa; Chordata; Mammalia; Primates; Hominidae
Source: RNAcentral